GAUGAACGCUGGCGGAGUGCCUAACACAUGCAAGUCGAGCGGCAGCGCGAGUAGUUUACUACUUGGCGGCGAGCGGCGGACGGCUGAGUAACGCGUGGGAACAUGCCCCAAAGUGAGGAAUAACUGCCCGAAAGGGUAGCUAAUGCCGCAUACGAUCUUCGGAUUAAAGGAUUUAUCCGCUUUGGGAGUGGCCUGCGUACGAUUAGAUAGUUGGUGAGGUAAUGGCUCACCAAGUCUACGAUCGUUAACUGGUUUGAGAGGAUGAUCAGUCAGACUGGAACUGAGACACGGUCCAGACUCCUACGGGAGGCAGCAGUGAGGAAUCUUCCACAAUGGACGAAAGUCUGAUGGAGCAACUCCGCGUGCAGGAUGAAGGCCUUCGGGUCGUAAACUGCUUUAUGAGUGAAGAAUAUGACGGUAACGUCAUGAAUAAGGGUCGGCGUAACUACGUGCCAGCAGCCGCGGUAAU
This 469-nucleotide ribosomal RNA is filed under the name uncultured bacterium. RNAcentral's name for it is "bacterial SSU rRNA". It matches the Rfam family "Bacterial small subunit ribosomal RNA", at positions 28 to 524 of the family's 1533-position model. The record is from RNAcentral.